This 556-nucleotide ribosomal RNA is filed under the name fungal yeast sp. Urf2802. RNAcentral describes it as "eukaryotic LSU rRNA". It matches the Rfam family "Eukaryotic large subunit ribosomal RNA", at positions 37 to 598 of the family's 3401-position model. The record is from RNAcentral. Lineage: Eukaryota; Fungi.
UGCAUAUCAAUAAGCGGAGGAAAAGAAACUAACAAGGAUUCCCCUAGUAGCGGCGAGCGAAGCGGGAAGAGCUCAAAUUUCUAAUCUGGCACCUUCGGUGUCCGAGUUGUAAUCUCUAGAAGUGUUUUCCGCGUUGGACCGCACACAAGUCUGUUGGAAUACAGCGGCAUAGUGGUGAAACCCCCGUAUAUGGUGCGGACGCCCAGCGCUUUGUGAUACACUUUCAAUGAGUCGAGUCGUUUGGGAAUGCAGCUCAAAUUGGGUGGUAAAUUCCAUCUAAAGCUAAAUAUUGGCGAGAGACCGAUAGCGAACAAGUACCGUGAGGGAAAGAUGAAAAGCACUUUGGAAAGAGAGUUAACAGUACGUGAAAUUGUUGGAAGGGAAACGCUUGAAGUCAGACUUGCUUGCCGGAGCUUGCUUCGGUUUGCAGGCCAGCAUCAGUUUUCCGGGGUGGAUAAUGACGGUUUGAAGGUAGCAGUCUCGGCUGUGUUAUAGCUUUCCGUUGGAUACAUCCUGGGGGACUGAGGAACGCAGCGUGCUUUUGCGAAAGACUCGU